AUCGAACCAAACAAUGGACAAAGGUAAAAGGAAACGUUCAAAACAUUUCUGUGAAUUUGAAAAACAUUUAUUGUCAAACCACCCAAUUAUUGAGAAGAAACAGCAUGAUUCAUCAACAGAAAGCAAGAAAAGGAAUGCCUGGAGUAAAAUUUGCUCUCUGAAUUUGAAUUUAACUCAAAUGAAAAAGUAAGCCAAAGGACAGUCCUGCAACUUCAGAUCCUCUGGAAAAACAUAAAAAUUCAAUUAAAGAAGACAAAUGCUGCUGCUCGUAGGGAGCAUUUCAAGACUGGUGGUGGACUCCCGGAAAGACCAGAGGCCGAUGACAUGGGAGACUUGUUGAGUUCCCUCAUUGAUAGCCAGCAACCCCUGGAAGGUUUCCCAGAUGAUGACCAUAUGGACAGUUCAGAUGGGGCACCUGUCCAAUCUUCAUUUGAUGACCACGUAAGCUUGGAGGGCCCGAGAGAGGGUACAUGUCAGCCCACUACAUCUGAGGCAGCCGGGAGGGAAGAUGGUGUCGCUAAUCUGGGCCGAAAGACCAAGAGACAGACCAUACAUGAGAAACUGCCCAUGGACUAUCAUGAGCACAAAUUAAAGUAUUUAAAAGAAGAACAUGAAAUAAAUGAUGAAAAUCCUUCAUAUUGAGUUGGCUUGGAGGAGGAGGAGAGAAACAUGAAGCAGCAAAUGAUGUCCAGUUCUGGGUUCUGAAAUUUCCUUUGCUUAAAUGAAAAUAAUCUUGAAACCAAUACAGGGCAAUUGUCAUAAUUCAUUGUCUUUGUGAAAAAUGCUGCAAAGCAAAAACAUCUCUGCAGGCUGGUCCAUAUCUGUCUUUGUUGGCUUCAACAAUGGGAAUAUCUAGGUCACUGUCGUCUUUCAUUUCAGGAUCUGGCCAGCCAUGUUGUUUUAAUGUAAUUGUGAAGCACUGCUGCAGCAAUUAUCACAAUACAGCAUCUUCUUGAUUCAAAGCGCAGUGUGCAUCUGAGACAUUGAAAACGACUCUUCCAUACACCAAACAUGUGCUCCACUAUACCUCUAGUGCGGAGGUGUGCUUGGCUGUACCUCUGUUGCUCUGGUGUGACUGCAUGAAGAUAGGGGGUGAACAAGAAGUUCUGUGCAUACCCACUGCCACCAAGUAUGAUUCCACUAUGUUGUCCUUCUUCCAAAUGAGCAUACAAAGAGGAGUUUUGGAAAAUCCUUGACUCAUGAGUUGCACCUUUCCAGCGUGCAACAAUGUUGGAGAACUGCAUAGUUGGAGUGCACACACCUUGCACAUUUAUUGAGAACCAGUUUUUACGAUUCCUGUACUCUUCAGCAUCUGGUGUAGGGACGCUUUAUGGGAAUGACACCCAUCAAUGCAGCCAGUGACUCCAGGGAAAUUGCCA
This is a long non-coding RNA of Tachysurus fulvidraco (yellow catfish), 1379 nucleotides long. RefSeq lists it as uncharacterized. The record is from RefSeq and is a predicted model, not a curated record. NCBI's taxonomy places the organism in Eukaryota, Metazoa, Chordata, Actinopteri, Siluriformes, Bagridae. The transcript is spliced from 3 exons.